UACGGAGGGAGCUAGCGUUGUUCGGAAUUACUGGGCGUAAAGCGCGCGUAGGCGGCUUUGUAAGUUAGAGGUGAAAGCCCGGAGCUCAACUCCGGAACUGCCUUUAAAACUGCAUCGCUUGAAUCCAGGAGAGGUGAGUGGAAUUCCGAGUGUAGAGGUGAAAUUCGUAGAUAUUCGGAAGAACACCAGUGGCGAAGGCGGCUCACUGGACUGGUAUUGACGCUGAGGAGCGAAAGCUAGGGGAGCAAACGGG
Molecule: ribosomal RNA, 253 nt
Filed under: uncultured bacterium
Lineage: Bacteria
Description: partial 16S ribosomal RNA
Rfam family: Bacterial small subunit ribosomal RNA
Source: RNAcentral